This 490-nucleotide ribosomal RNA is filed under the name uncultured bacterium. RNAcentral describes it as "bacterial SSU rRNA". It matches the Rfam family "Bacterial small subunit ribosomal RNA", at positions 29 to 524 of the family's 1533-position model. The record is from RNAcentral.
AUUGAACGCUGGCGGCAUGCCUAACACAUGCAAGUCGAACGGGGGCAGCAAUGCCCUAGUGGCGGACGGGUGAGGAAUACGUAGGAACCGGCCCACGAGUGGGGGACAACCUGGGGAAACCCAGGCUAAUACCGCAUACGCUCGCGAGAGGAAAGCGGGGGACCUUCGGGCCUCGCGCUGGUGGACGGGCCUACGUCCGAUUAGCUUGUUGGUGGGGUAAAAGCCUACCAAGGCGACGAUCGGUAGCUGGUCUGAGAGGAUGAUCAGCCACACUGGGACUGAGACACGGCCCAGACUCCUACGGGAGGCAGCAGUGGGGAAUAUUGGACAAUGGGCGCAAGCCUGAUCCAGCAAUGCCGCGUGGGUGAAGAAGGCCUGCGGGUUGUAAAGCCCUUUAAGCGGGAGGAAAGCCGGGGGGUGAAGUAGCGCCUCGGGGUGACGUUACCGCAGAAUAAGCACCGGCUAACUCCGUGCCAGCAGCCGCGGUAAU